RNAcentral lists this long non-coding RNA (248 nucleotides) under Elaeis guineensis (African oil palm). RNAcentral's name for it is "long non-coding RNA (EGUI_LNC004199)". The record is from RNAcentral. Lineage: Eukaryota; Viridiplantae; Streptophyta; Magnoliopsida; Arecales; Arecaceae.
GUCGGAGAACUUCUUCGACCAUUCUCGAUCGUGGUCGGCCCGAGUCGAAAGCCAGGAUGAGCUUCCUUCCAGCUGACCGAUCUUCUCCCGUGCAGCCGACAGCUCCGCUUCAAGAGAGCUGAUCUUGAAAGUUUGAGCCCAGGAUCGGUCGCUGGCGCGCUUCUUAUGUUCCUCGAGCUCCUUCUUGAAGUUCGCCUUCCUCCGACUGUAAUCCAUGAUCCCUUUCACAUGGAGGUUCCGAAAGUGGG